Long non-coding RNA from Oncorhynchus tshawytscha (Chinook salmon), 806 nucleotides. RefSeq lists it as uncharacterized. The record is from RefSeq and is a predicted model, not a curated record. The transcript is spliced from 3 exons. Lineage: Eukaryota; Metazoa; Chordata; Actinopteri; Salmoniformes; Salmonidae.
GGAGAGAGGAAUGAAGUCGUGGGAGAGACAAAAAACCCGCCUCCACACACACCCAGGCUGUGCUGGCUCACAGAAAGAGUGUGUCGUCAUUUUGGUCAAGGCUCUCUAUGGUACUUAGAAACACGUACAUCCGUGGACUCAUCGAGGAGGAGGCUGAAACGCUGGUCACCCACAUCCGUGGACUCAUCGAGGAGGAGGCUGAAACGCUGGUCACCCACAUCUGCAACCAACUUUUUCAGAAAGUAUAGUGCUAGAACACCAUUAAUAAUUUCUGUGCACUUUGUCCUGUGCAUUUUGAAGUGGGUAGCAGCAGUGGAGUCUGAGAAAGCAGCUCUAUAUGCUUCUCGAAUGUGAUCACAUGCCAGCAUGGAACAGUGUUCAGCGAUAGCUAAUGCCAUGGUGGCCUCAGCCUUUUUUGCAGAGUCCAUAUUUAACCUUAAAUGGCAGCUUGUUUUGGGUGGAACUGUUAUAGGGCUUUGCCUUUUGAGUAUGUUUUCGAGUUGUCAUGUGUUUUUUUACAUCACUAAGUUUGGCGUAGAAAUCAGCCUUACAAUACAGGCAGUAUGCUAGUGUAUCAUCUCCAAUAAAUGGAUUCAACUAGCCUUUGAAUUCAGGGUUUGAUUCCCACUCCUUUCUGUAUUUUUGAGUGUACAGUUUAGACUGAGACAUGAUGAGCUAGCCAGCUAGAUGUUUAGCUUAUGUCACAGAAAGGCACAAACACGGUGGACAAGGUGAGUAAGUGACUGAGGCUGUGUGAGUCAAGUGUAGUGAUUUAUUUUAUACAAAGAACAUUUUACAUUUACAUC